This 1210-nucleotide ribosomal RNA is filed under the name metagenome. RNAcentral describes it as "bacterial SSU rRNA". It matches the Rfam family "Archaeal small subunit ribosomal RNA", at positions 235 to 1445 of the family's 1478-position model. The record is from RNAcentral.
GUGGGUGUAAUGUACCUACUAGCCUACGACGGGUACGGGUUGUGAGAGCAAGAGCCCGGAGAUGGAUUCUGAGACAUGAAUCCAGGCCCUACGGGGCGCAGCAGGCGCGAAAACUUUACAAUGCGGGAAACCGUGAUAAGGGGACACCGAGUGCCAGCAUCCUAUGCUGGCUGUCCGGGUGUGUAAAAUACACCUGUUAGCAAGGGCCGGGCAAGACCGGUGCCAGCCGCCGCGGUAACACCGGCGGCCCGAGUGGUGAUCGUGAUUAUUGGGUCUAAAGGGUCCGUAGCCGGUUUGGUCAGUCCUCCGGGAAAUCUGACAGCUUAACUGUUAGGCUUUCGGAGGAUACUGCCAGACUUGGAACCGGGAGAGGUAAGAGGUACUACAGGGGUAGGAGUGAAAUCUUGUAAUCCCUGUGGGACCACCUGUGGCGAAGGCGUCUUACCAGAACGGGUUCGACCGUGAGGGACGAAAGCUGGGGGCACGAACCGGAUUAGAUACCCGGGUAGUCCCAGCCGUAAACGAUGCUCGCUAGGUGUCAGGCAUGGCGCGACCGUGUCUGGUGCCGCAGGGAAGCCGUGAAGCGAGCCACCUGGGAAGUACGGCCGCAAGGCUGAAACUUAAAGGAAUUGGCGGGGGAGCACAACAACGGGUGGAGCCUGCGGUUUAAUUGGACACAACGCCGGACAACUCACCGGGGGCGACAGCAAAAUGUAGGCCAGGCUGAAGACCUUGCCUGAAUCGCUGAGAGGAGGUGCAUGGCCGUCGCCAGUUCGUACUGUGAAGCAUCCUGUUAAGUCAGGCAACGAGCGAGACCCGUGCCCACUGUUACCAGCAUGUCCUCCGGGACGAUGGGUACUCUGUGGGGACCGCCGGUGUUAAAUCGGAGGAAGGUGCGGGCCACGGUAGGUCAGUAUGCCCCGAAUCUCCCGGGCUACACGCGGGCUACAAUGGAUGGGACAAUGGGUCCCUACCCUGAAAAGGGAUGGUAAUCUCAUAAACCCAUCCUUAGUUCGGAUCGAGGGCUGUAACUCGCCCUCGUGAGGCUGGAAUCCGUAGUAAUCGCGUUUCAAUAUAGCGCGGUGAAUACGUCCCUGCUCCUUGCACACACCGCCCGUCAAACCACCCGAGUGAGGUAUGGGUGAGGGCACGGACACCGUGCCGUGUUCGAACCUGUACUUUGCAAGGGGGGUUAAGUCGUAACAAGGUA